This is a transfer RNA of Fusarium oxysporum f. sp. cubense, 92 nucleotides long. It matches the Rfam family "tRNA". Rfam says of the family: Transfer RNA (tRNA) molecules are approximately 80 nucleotides in length. Their secondary structure includes four short double-helical elements and three loops (D, anti-codon, and T loops). The record is from Rfam. NCBI's taxonomy places the organism in Eukaryota, Fungi, Ascomycota, Sordariomycetes, Hypocreales, Nectriaceae.
GGGCGAAUGGUUUAGUGGUAUAAUACUCCCUUAGCAUGUUCUCUACGAGCGUUAUUUGGGAGUGGUCCAGGGUUCGAUUCCCUGUUCGUCCA